GGAGCUGGCACCACUAGAUUUUCAUUGUGUUCCUUUCUUGUCACCAAAUACAUGCAUCUUACCCUGAGGUUUGCUGUAUCUUAUACUCCCUCUUUCACUUUAUAUUUUUUCUGUCAUGGGAACAAAGAGGGUUUUACAGAUGAAUUUGCUUUGCCAUGUUGAUGAGCCUGGACACCAGCUGGGGUGAGGUCCUCCUGGCAUUUGGGGACCUCUUCCAGCUCACUGGUAUCACUCAGUCCAAGCGAAAGGAGCCAUCAAGUGGGAAGCCAGGAGUUUCUCCAAAGGAAUCAUCUCUCCAGAGGACAAAUCCCCCCACCUGCAUACCCAAGCCGUCUCUUCGCAAGAUUGCCCUGGAAGUGCCUGAGGACAAAUGUGAACACCUGCCCUAGCCCCACAGCCCCUGAGAGCUCCUCAUGGCAUUGGGUUUUCCUGGAGAGAGAGGCCUGAGAUACUGCACAUGGGGCUGAGCAAAGGGAAUCGUCUUCCUCUUGGAGUGGAGGGAGGGCAACCACAGGAGGAGCAAAGCGGGAGGAACCUGGAGCCCGUGGGCCGGGCAGAAGGUGAGGCCAGCAGCAGGACCUGACCACCAGGGUGACACAAUGUUGAAGAAGCCUCCCAUCCCCAGUGCCUGGCCAGCCCCUCUGUGAAAGCUUGUUUAUAUCUCCAGGGGUAAAAGAUUGUUUGAGGAAAUCCAUUAGCUUCGGCAAUUCAAAGAGGGUGAGUUUUAUAUCUAGGUCAAUAUGACAAGUGCAAUGACAGCCUGGACCGACAGCCCAGGAGGUGGAGAAGCCUGGAGAAAGCCCUUCUCAGAGCCCCUCCCUGGUGCCUGCUGUGGGCUCCACUGUCCCUGACACCCACCCUCUCCUGGCCAGUGAGUCUGUGGGCCAAGGCACUCAGCUUGAGCACUGAACCCAGAAUUCCUACUCACCACCAGAGCCAGCCCCACGGCCUGCAGCACCCCCGUGGCCCAUCCUCUAGGGGGCUGGCCAUGUGUGGCUGUGUCCAGCCGAGGUCCAAAGGGCACAUGAGCUGUGUGACCACACCCCUGCAGGUCAGACCUUUCAGGGGCCUCCUGAGCCCAUGCAUCAGGGAAAGGAGCCAGUUCUCCCCUGUGUUGCUGUGCUACUCUUCUAAAUCUAAACCAGGACUUCAGGUCAUUGGGCAGGUUUCUUUGCGAAGGACCACAGGCUCAGGUACAUUCAACACUGCCAGGUUGGAUACAAGGAUAACAGGAUGUUUUGUGUGCCACAGGAGCCCCUCUGACAUUAAGUUACACAGGACAAACUCAUAAUUCUCAUCCGUAUCAUCUUGGAAAAUACUUUGCCUCCAUCCCUCCUCACCCCCUCUCUUGCCUCCUACCACCAGAACUAAGAGAUUCCUCUGGUGCAUGGCAAAGCCCAUGGCCUCUCCCUCCUGGAUGUGGUCCAGUGAGUCUGCAGAGUCUGUUUUGUCUGUGAGCUGGUGCACUCUGCUAGCAUCCUCACCCUUCACCGGUCAGCUAGUUAGGAGCUCGGCAGAGAGGCCUCAUGAGAUCCACCAAAUCAGGAAAUAAUCAUUGUGCAGUCUUGAGAUGCUCUACAGGCGGGCAGCCAGAGGGCCUUGAGUAAGGUCUCUUCCCCUUCUGGGGAGCCCUAGGCCCCUGUCAAAUGCAGGGACUAGUCAAUGUCAGAACAUCUCACAGAAGACUUAUGAAAGUCAAAUGUCUGUUAAUGCUACAGUUCAAGAGCUAAGAUUUGACUUUUGCACCAUUGAAUUACUCCAUUCAGCUUCUUUUAGAGCAAUGAUGAUGACAGUUAAUGAGUCUGAAUUUUCAAAAUAUGAAUUUUGUAUUCUUAUCUUUCUUCUCUGUUUCCUGCAAGAAGACAAGACAGAAUAUUUAUUGCCAAUAAAAUAUGGUAAUAAAACCCUGGCCAUGUGCACAAUAUUGAUUAUUGAUCAAUUGUCUAAUUCUAUUGUAUACCAUGAGGUUUAUCAUUGUCUAUAUUCUAUCAGUUCGAUGACUGAGGCAAUUUUCUUUUUAUUUCUGUGAUGAGAUUAUUAUUAUUCAGAAUUACAACACAGAAAUCAGAAUGUUUAUUUUGACUAAGAUGCAAUUUCUUCUUUCAGAAAUCAUUUAGAAUGUUUCAUAAUGCAUUUUAAAUUUUAAUUUGAAAAGUAAUUUCCAUGCCAGCAACUAGCCUGCAGAGACACCCAAAUUGGCUAUUGGCAUAAAAAGAAAAAAAAAGAGAUAUCUUUGUAAGUUAGAAAAAUGUGAAUGAUAAAAUGGUCAUUCUUUUUUCAGAAAGUAGCACAUGUAAUUUUUUAAACAAAAAUAAUUAUACUUAUGUGAUGAAUCUUGAAAUAUUUGAGAAAAAAUAUAAAGGAAAUAAGUUACCUCUAAUCCUACCAGCCAAAGAUCACCAUUUUUAAUAUAUUGGUAUAUUUCUUUUCAGCCUUUCUUCUGUGAAAUAAACAUUUAUUACUAUUGGUUCAAUAUUGCUACCAGGAAUGUGUCAUUGUCUGGCAACCUCCCCCCAGAGUUGAAAAUUUAGGUUGUUUUAAAUAUUCUGUUAAAAGGUAAUCUGUUAGUCUUCUGGUGGGUAUACAGUGAUAUCACAUUGUGGUUUUUAUCUGCAUCUCCCAAAUCUCUAAUAAAAUGGACAUAUGGCAUAUGUCUAUAGGUCAUCUUGUUCAAUUUUAAAAUGUCUUCUCAAGUCUUUUGCUGUUUUUCUAUUGUGCUGUCUUCUUAUUAUUGAGUAGUAGGACUUCUUCCUGUAUAUAGGAUAUAACUCUUUUGUCAACUAUAUCUAUUCCCCUUAUUUGUGAUAUUUAUGUUUUGUAAAGUCACUGUGAACACUGAAUUAGAAAAUAUUAAACUAUUGCUCUUAAGAAACAUACAGAGUUCACUUCCUGAGAGCCUCUGAUCACAACACUUUCAUCAACCAAAAUGGUAUUUGUAUUAUAUGGGUUCACUUGCCGGUGUCCUCAUAAAACAAGACAAUCUUAUCAGCUUUUAAAACCUGAUUUUCCAUACAACCUUUUUCUUAGUAUAAUACUUAGCAGGUAUCUAAAAAACCUUCCAC
Molecule: long non-coding RNA, 3062 nt
Filed under: Homo sapiens (human)
Lineage: Eukaryota; Metazoa; Chordata; Mammalia; Primates; Hominidae
Description: HSALNT0122192
Source: RNAcentral